This 62-nucleotide transfer RNA is filed under the name Tettigades opaca. Its description in RNAcentral is "tRNA-Asp". Lineage: Eukaryota; Metazoa; Arthropoda; Insecta; Hemiptera; Cicadidae. The record is from RNAcentral.
GAGGAAUUAUUUUAAUUAAAAUAUAAAUCUGUCAGAUUUAAGUUAUCACAAGAUAUUUCUUU